AGAUUGAACGCUGGCGGCAUGCCUAACACAUGCAAGUCGAACGGGAGUAGCAAUACUCUAGUGGCGGACGGGUGAGGAAUACGUAGGAAUUUGCCCUUAAGUGGGGAUAACCCGGGGAACCCGGAUUAAUACCGCAUGACCUCGAAAGAGCAAAGUGGGGGAUCGCAAGACCUCACGCUUUUGGAGAAGCCUACGUCGGAUUAGCUAGUUGGUGAGGUAAUGGCUCACCAAGGCGACGAUCCGUAACUGGUCUGAGAGGAUGAUCAGUCACACCGGAACUGAGACACGGUCCGGACUCCUACGGGAGGCGAGCGUAGUGGGGAAUAGUUGGACAAGUGGGCGCAAGCCUGAUCCAGCAAUGCCGCGUGUGUGGAAGAAGGCUUCGGUGUAAGCUACGUUUAAGUUGGUAAGAAAAACGUCGACGUACUAACA
Molecule: ribosomal RNA, 432 nt
Filed under: uncultured soil bacterium
Lineage: Bacteria
Description: bacterial SSU rRNA
Rfam family: Bacterial small subunit ribosomal RNA
Source: RNAcentral